RNAcentral lists this ribosomal RNA (492 nucleotides) under uncultured bacterium. RNAcentral describes it as "partial 16S ribosomal RNA". It matches the Rfam family "Bacterial small subunit ribosomal RNA", at positions 29 to 507 of the family's 1533-position model. The record is from RNAcentral.
AGUGAACGCUGGCGGUAGGCCUAACACAUGCAAGUCGAACGGCAGCACAGUAAGAUCUUGCUCUUACGGGUGGCGAGUGGCGGACGGGUGAGGAAUACAUCGGAAUCUACUUUUUCGUGGGGGAUAACGUAGGGAAACUUACGCUAAUACCGCAUACGACCUACGGGUGAAAGCAGGGGAUCUUCGGACCUUGCGCGAUUGAAUGAGCCGAUUUCGGAUUAGCUAGUUGGCGGGGUAAAGGCCCACCAAGGCGACGAUCCGUAGCUGGUCUGAGAGGAUGAUCGGCCACACUGGAACUGAGACACGGUCCAGACUCCUACGGGAGGCAGCAGUGGGGAAUAUUGGACAAUGGGCGCAAGCCUGAUCCAGCCAUACCGCGUGGGUGAAGAAGGCCUUCGGGUUGUAAAGCCCUUUUGUUGGGAAAGAAAAGCAGCAGGUUAAUACCCCGCUGUUCUGACGGUACCCAAAGAAUAAGCACCGGCUAACUUCGUG